Molecule: long non-coding RNA, 288 nt
Filed under: Fukomys damarensis (Damara mole-rat)
Lineage: Eukaryota; Metazoa; Chordata; Mammalia; Rodentia; Bathyergidae
Description: lncRNA (ENSFDAG00000027897.1)
Source: RNAcentral
GAAGGGUAAAGAUCCUGGAAUCAUGGCUACUCUCGCCUUUCUGCUCUCUGCUCGCACAGGCCUGGCUGUAACUGUUGCUGAAUCUUCACGCCCACAUCCUCCUCCCUGCACCAUGUUCUUCUUGAGCUUCUGGCCACAGGGUUCCAGGAUGAGGUUGCAUUGCAGCUGGAGAGGCGGUGAGGCGAAGACAGAGGAAAAGAAUCACUAGACAACAGAGAGGAUGAAGCAAGAGAAUUGGAAGCAUCUGAAACCUACAAUUACAGCAAACAUUAAACACAGUCCAACUGU